AGUCUCGGGGUGUAAUCACGUGAGAUUGCAAAUCUCAAGAAGCAGGUUAACGACCUGCCGAGGCUU
This 66-nucleotide transfer RNA is filed under the name Saurida nebulosa (clouded lizardfish). RNAcentral's name for it is "tRNA-Cys". It matches the Rfam family "tRNA". From Rfam's summary of the family: Transfer RNA (tRNA) molecules are approximately 80 nucleotides in length. Their secondary structure includes four short double-helical elements and three loops (D, anti-codon, and T loops). The record is from RNAcentral. Lineage: Eukaryota; Metazoa; Chordata; Actinopteri; Aulopiformes; Synodontidae.